AUUGUACGCUGGCGGCAUGCCUUACACAUGCAAGUCGAGCGGUAACAGGUUAAGCUGACGAGUGGCGAACGGGUGAGUAAUGUAUCGGAACGUGCCCAGUCGUGGGGGAUAACUGCUCGAAAGAGCAGCUAAUACCGCAUACGACCUGAGGGUGAAAGCGGGGGAUCGCAAGACCUCGCGCGAUUGGAGCGGCCGAUAUCAGAUUAGGUAGUUGGUGAGGUAAAGGCUCACCAAGCCGACGAUCUGUAGCUGGUCUGAGAGGACGACCAGCCACACUGGGACUGAGACACGGCCCAGACUCCUACGGGAGGCAGCAGUGGGGAAUUUUGGACAAUGGGCGCAAGCCUGAUCCAGCCAUGCCGCGUGCGGGAAGAAGGCCUUCGGGUUGUAAACCGCUUUUGUCAGGGAAGAAAAGGUUCUGGCUAAUACCUGGGACUCAUGACGGUACCUGAAGAAUAAGCACCGGCUAACUACGUG
This 477-nucleotide ribosomal RNA is filed under the name uncultured bacterium. RNAcentral describes it as "partial 16S ribosomal RNA". It matches the Rfam family "Bacterial small subunit ribosomal RNA", at positions 30 to 507 of the family's 1533-position model. The record is from RNAcentral.